UUCUAUUUAUUGUCCCAUUGGAUUCCUGGUUAUUCGCUUGCUGUGUUAAUUUACCUGUGCUUACCUAUUUCAGGAUCCAUCACUCCUCUGUGCCUGGGGUGACUAGAGGACUCACCAUGCUUGUUGCUUAUAGGGUUCCCCUAUCGGGUUUGGUGCUGAGGGUGACACCCCAGUGGAAGCAUAUGUGUGUCUAUAACUAAAGCAGAGCAUGUGGAUAAGUCUUGGUAGAAUUCAGACACAAGCAGUUCCAUAAAGCAAAAAGGUGUCAGGAGGACCUACUAUCAAGUUUUCACUUGUCCACAUGGAAUAACUGAAAAUAAAUGGGAAUGGAAAAGAUUGUGGAAUGGUGGGUUGUGGCCUGGACUGUCAGACCAAAUAAAGGAAGUCUGAAUCUCUUGCUGGACAUCCUAAGUCAUUGACAGCAGUGCAAAGUGGAUGUAAAAUGUAACUUGACCACAGAGCCAAGAAGAUCCAAGAAGUGGAAAUUGCAGUAAGACAAACCCUGACUAGAAAGGAGGAAUGCACUUGUAAAUAAGUUGUCUUUGCAAAAAAGAAGUAGAAGAUUCUCUUUCAUUUCAAAUCUGUAAAGACUAAAUUUUCCCGUAAAAUUAUGCUGUAGCUUAAUCAGAAGUUCUGGGUUUGAUGCAAGAAUUGCUUGGUAAAACUGCAUGGCCUGUAUAAGAAGGUUGUCAGAUUAGACUAUUAGAAUUAUUCUUUUUUGCCUGAAUCUAUUAAUCUAUUUAUUUUGCAAGUAAAAACAGUCAACAGAGUGCCUUUCUUACAUCACGGUGAAGAAAGUAGUGGGCUUUAAAUGCAAAUAAUGCAGUCUAAGGGAAACUGAAUCUCUUCUCUCAGAUGUUAAUUUGAACUUAUUGCAUUAGUCAUUGUAGUCGUGUAGCUGAUACUGGGUGCAUCUACACAUGAAAUUUAUUUGAUGCAAUAAACUCUGGUG
Molecule: long non-coding RNA, 952 nt
Organism: Gavialis gangeticus (Gharial)
Lineage: Eukaryota; Metazoa; Chordata; Crocodylia; Gavialidae
Exons: 4
Source: RefSeq, a predicted model, not a curated record